This 447-nucleotide ribosomal RNA is filed under the name uncultured bacterium. RNAcentral describes it as "bacterial SSU rRNA". It matches the Rfam family "Bacterial small subunit ribosomal RNA", at positions 329 to 794 of the family's 1533-position model. The record is from RNAcentral.
CGCCAGACUCCUACGGGAGGCAGCAGUGGGGAAUAUUGGGCAAUGGGCGCAAGCCUGACCCAGCAACGCCGCGUGAAGGAAGAAGGCUUUCGGGUUGUAAACUUCUUUUCUGAGGGACGAUAGUGACGGUACCUCAGGAAUAAGCCACGGCUAACUACGUGCCAGCAGCCGCGGUAAUACGGAGGAUGCGAGCGUUAUCCGGAUUUAUUGGGUUUAAAGGGUGCGUAGGCGGACGCUUAAGUCAGCGGUAAAAUUGCGGGGCUCAACCUCGGCGAGCCGUUGAAACUGGGUGCCUUGAGUGGGCGAGAAGUACGCGGAAUGCGUGGUGUAGCGGUGAAAUGCAUAGAUAUCACGCAGAACUCCGAUUGCGAAGGCAGCAUACCGGCGCCCAACUGACGCUGAAGCACGAAAGCGUGGGUAUCGAACAGGAUUAGAUACCCGGGUAGA